Molecule: non-coding RNA, 554 nt
Organism: Maylandia zebra (zebra mbuna)
Lineage: Eukaryota; Metazoa; Chordata; Actinopteri; Cichliformes; Cichlidae
Source: RefSeq, a predicted model, not a curated record
CAGAAACCCUGAAGGUCGAGUGACGAGUUCCCGUAUUGCACAGUUCGUCCAAACCACCAGAGAUUCCUCACAUUAGUGUGGAGUUUGGCCCUUCAGCCUCUCAGACUGCUGACAUGUUAGGAGACAAACCUCCAGCUGCAUCCUCACCAAAUGUCAUCAAAGGUUCUACUGAUGGAGAUGAAACUGUAGAAGAUCCUGACCUCGAGCCUUCCAACAACACCUCCACGCAACAAACCAGCCCGCUUCCCCCCAAAGACUCUGAGCCCGCUGAGGCUGAGACCGGCCUCAGCCCUGAGCAACAGCUCAGCAACGACUGUGUAGAGGGGGAUUAAAGUUCACGUGCAGCAGUUUCUGCUGAAAAGCUUUGGCAGUGAGCAGAUUUAAAGGUUUCCCAAUGUUCGUGCCUGCUCAUUCGAGUAAUGUUGUGCAUUUCUGGUGGUUUAUAUCUUGAGCACAUGUUCCUACUGUGACGUCAGCUUUGGGUUAGCAAAGACAUUUAUAAUCAAUGGAAAUAAAUGUUUUUCUUAUUUUUAAAAGUCCAAAUCCUAAACGUA